UCGCAUGUACAGCAUGAAGUUUUCAGCAAUGAAGAUUUCCAGAACGAGAACCAAGCCGUGAGGGAGGAGAACCAAGCCCUGAGGGGAAGCCAUGCACGAGCAGCUUCGGAUGACAGCGGCUCGCUUCAAGAGCAGGUGAAGCAAUUUGGGACAAUGCUGAAGACGUUUGCUCGCACUGGGCAAUCAGGUGCAGAUCAGACCCUAGUGCUGCGACGUCUUGGAGAGUUUGGCGAUGUUGUGCGUAGCAUGGAAAACUAUGCUGCAACAUUUCAGUGCCAAUGUGUCUGUUGGAGAGCUAUCCCUGCCAGGGGAUCUGUUACUCCCCCUAGGCACCCAGGAAGAUUUGGUGUUUCUUGACAGCAUUUUGAGGCAGGAUAAAGAGCUCUAGGAACGAUUUGUAAGUGUGUUGCUUUCGUUUAUAAGGCCGUAGGGUAAUCUAAAAAGUCAAAUUAAGUUUGUACACUGCAUAUUCUACAGUCUAAAUCCACA
Long non-coding RNA from Esox lucius (northern pike), 489 nucleotides. RefSeq lists it as uncharacterized. The record is from RefSeq and is a predicted model, not a curated record. Lineage: Eukaryota; Metazoa; Chordata; Actinopteri; Esociformes; Esocidae. The transcript has 4 exons.